This 600-nucleotide ribosomal RNA is filed under the name uncultured bacterium. RNAcentral's name for it is "bacterial SSU rRNA". It matches the Rfam family "Bacterial small subunit ribosomal RNA", at positions 28 to 626 of the family's 1533-position model. The record is from RNAcentral.
AUUGAACGCUGGCGGCAGGCCUAACACAUGCAAGUCGAGCGCGAAAGGUCUUCGGAUUGAGUAGAGCGGCGGACGGGUGAGUAACGCGUAGGAAUCUACCUAGUAGUGGGGGACAACCUGUGGAAACGCAGGCUAAUACCGCAUACGCCCUACGGGGGAAAGCGGGGGAUCUUCGGACCUCGUGCUAUUAGAUGAGCCUGCGUAAGAUUAGCUAGUUGGUGAGGUAAAGGCUCACCAAGGCGACGAUCUUUAGCUGGUCUGAGAGGAUGAUCAGUCACACUGGAACUGAGACACGGUCCAGACUCCUACGGGAGGCGGCAGUGGGGAAUAUUGCACAAUGGGGGAAACCCUGAUGCAGCCAUGCCGCGUGUGUGAAGAAGGCUCUAGGGUUGUAAAGCACUUUCAGCGGGGAGGAAAGGUUGUAAUUUAAUAGAUUGCAGCUGUGACGUUACCCGCAGAAGAAGCACCGGCUAACUCCGUGCCAGCAGCCGCGGUAAUACGGAGGGUGCAAGCGUUAAUCGGAAUUACUGGGCGUAAAGCGCGCGUAGGCGGAUGCUUAAGUCGGAUGUGAAAGCCCCGGGCUCAACCUGGGAACUGCAU